Molecule: unclassified non-coding RNA, 379 nt
Filed under: soil metagenome
Description: partial contains 5.8S ribosomal RNA, internal transcribed spacer 2, and large subunit ribosomal RNA
Rfam family: 5.8S ribosomal RNA (bases 1-120)
Source: RNAcentral
GAUGAAGAACGUAGCGAAAUGCGAUAAGUAAUGUGAAUUGCAGAAUUCAGUGAAUCAUCGAAUCUUUGAACGCACCUUGCACCCUUUGGCAUUCCGAAGGGUAUGCUCGUUUGAGUGUAAUUGUACUCUCACACUUCCAAUCUUUGGAUUGGGAGCAGUGGACUUGGGUGUUGCUGCUUACUGUGGCUCACCUCAAAUCGAUUCGUGCACCUCUUGGUUGGACAUAGUACGGCGUGAUAAGUGUCUUCGCCGGCACCUCAGUAGAGGGUGGCUGAUCAGGAGCUCUGUGCUUCAAACCGUCCUCGGACAAAAACUGACAACUUGACCUCAAAUCGAGUAGGACUACCCGCUGAACUUAAGCAUAUCAAUAAGCGGAGGA